UACAGAGGGUGCAAACGUUGCUCGGAAUCAUUGGGCGUAAAGCGCGUGUAGGCGGACGAACAAGCCUGGGGUGAAAGGUUGGGGCUCAACCCCAAGAGUGCCCUGGGGACUGUUCGUCUGGAGGCCGGCAGAGGAGAGUGGAAUUCCUGGUGUAGCGGUGGAAUGCGUAGAGAUCGAGAGGAACACCUGCGGCGAAGGCGGGUAGCUGGGCCGACACUGACGCUGAGGCGCGAAAGCCAGGGGAGCGAACGGG
Molecule: ribosomal RNA, 253 nt
Filed under: uncultured bacterium
Lineage: Bacteria
Description: partial 16S ribosomal RNA
Rfam family: Bacterial small subunit ribosomal RNA
Source: RNAcentral